UACAGAGGGUGCAAGCGUUAAUCGGAAUUACUGGGCGUAAAGCGCGCGUAGGUGGUUUGUUAAGUUGGAUGUGAAAUCCCCGGGCUCAACCUGGGAACUGCGCUUGUGACUGCAAGGCUAGAGUACGGCAGAGGGGGGUGGAAUUCCACGUGUAGCAGUGAAAUGCGUAGAGAUGUGGAGGAACACCGAUGGCGAAGGCAAUCCCCUGGGCCUGCACUGACGCUCAUGCACGAAAGCGUGGGGAGCAAACAGG
This 253-nucleotide ribosomal RNA is filed under the name uncultured prokaryote. RNAcentral's name for it is "partial 16S ribosomal RNA". It matches the Rfam family "Bacterial small subunit ribosomal RNA", at positions 524 to 776 of the family's 1533-position model. The record is from RNAcentral.